This 198-nucleotide ribosomal RNA is filed under the name uncultured bacterium. RNAcentral's name for it is "partial 16S ribosomal RNA". It matches the Rfam family "Bacterial small subunit ribosomal RNA", at positions 328 to 539 of the family's 1533-position model. The record is from RNAcentral.
ACGCUCGACACCUACGGGAGGUAGCAGUGGGGGAUAUUGCACAAUGGGGGAAACCCUGAUGCAGCAACGCCGCGUGAGGGAAGACGGUUUUCGGAUUGUAAACCUCUGUCAUCGGUGACGAUAAUGACGGUAGCCGAUGAGGAAGCUCCGGCUAACUACGUGCCAGCAGCCGCGGUAAUCUGAGCGGGCUGGCAAGGC